AGUGGUUAUUUUUCCUCAGCUAGAGGGAAGAACAAAGGAAUGGAGCCCAGAUGCACCAGAAUGGGGACCUGGUGGAAGAACUGAAAAAGCUGGGGAUCCGCUCCACCCUUUUAGAUGAAAAAAGAAAUAUGGAUGUGCCCAUAGCACACAUUACUCAGCUUUGAAACUGGCAGAUAAGGCUGUUGCCUUACAGAAGGGCAGAGAAACAUGAAGGAAUCAACCCAAGUCCAUGAGUGACUGAAUGAGUUGAGUAGGCCACCUAUGUGCUCUGGACUGUCAAGUGGAGAGAAACUUGACAAGUGAUACUGAGUGUCCUCCUCAACCAAAGUGAACAUUUAGAAAGGCAUGUACUCUACUGUAACAUUAAGUACAGUAGGUGUUUCUCCUCACCUGGGCUCUAUAUUCUCAGUUCUUUGCAAACAUCCUCUUAAAGGGAUUUCAUUCCCCCAAGUAGCUAUUGGAAUAGGGUAUUUUGGAAGGGUCUGGGUCACAUACUCCACCUAAGAAUAAAGCCAGCUCUGCUUCUAGGCUCUCAGCCUCAGCCUUACCCAUAUUCUCAAAUCUCUCCACUCGCUCAGCCUCUCAUACA
RNAcentral lists this long non-coding RNA (589 nucleotides) under Homo sapiens (human). Its description in RNAcentral is "non-protein coding lnc-MCTS1-4:1". Lineage: Eukaryota; Metazoa; Chordata; Mammalia; Primates; Hominidae. The record is from RNAcentral.